RNAcentral lists this ribosomal RNA (627 nucleotides) under Escherichia coli. RNAcentral's name for it is "partial 23S ribosomal RNA". It matches the Rfam family "Bacterial large subunit ribosomal RNA", at positions 711 to 1335 of the family's 2925-position model. The record is from RNAcentral. Lineage: Bacteria; Pseudomonadati; Pseudomonadota; Gammaproteobacteria; Enterobacterales; Enterobacteriaceae.
AGACCCGAAACCCGGUGAUCUAGCCAUGGGCAGGUUGAAGGUUGGGUAACACUAACUGGAGGACCGAACCGACUAAUGUUGAAAAAUUAGCGGAUGACUUGUGGCUGGGGGUGAAAGGCCAAUCAAACCGGGAGAUAGCUGGUUCUCCCCGAAAGCUAUUUAGGUAGCGCCUCGUGAAUUCAUCUCCGGGGGUAGAGCACUGUUUCGGCAAGGGGGUCAUCCCGACUUACCAACCCGAUGCAAACUGCGAAUACCGGAGAAUGUUAUCACGGGAGACACACGGCGGGUGCUAACGUCCGUCGUGAAGAGGGAAACAACCCAGACCGCCAGCUAAGGUCCCAAAGUCAUGGUUAAGUGGGAAACGAUGUGGGAAGGCCCAGACAGCCAGGAUGUUGGCUUAGAAGCAGCCAUCAUUUAAAGAAAGCGUAAUAGCUCACUGGUCGAGUCGGCCUGCGCGGAAGAUGUAACGGGGCUAAACCAUGCACCGAAGCUGCGGCAGCGACACUGUGUGUUGUUGGGUAGGGGAGCGUUCUGUAAGCCUGUGAAGGUGUACUGUAAGGUAUGCUGGAGGUAUCAGAAGUGCGAAUGCUGACAUAAGUAACGAUAAAGCGGGUGAAAAGCCCGCUC